CAACAUAUUCGGUUGCAACUUCUUAUUUUUAAGCUAUUAACAAUAUGUAAAAAAAGUAUGAUAAGUGGGUUUAUUGUGAAAUGAAAAUUAAUUAUUCCCAAACAGACGGUGGCAUAAGUAUUUUGACAUUUUAUAAAAUGUAAAAAAAAAAAAAACGAAUGGAACGAACUAACUUUUUAUGCUGAAUCAGCAAAAUAUAUAUCCUCCCUUUGCCUUUAUCACCUUUUGCAGACGUCUCGGAACUGACUCCACUAAGCUGUGGAUAUUAGCCUGCAGAAUUUCUCUCCAGAGUGAUUUCUAUUCUCAGAUGUUAUUCUCACGGUUCCUUGUCAAAUUUGGAGUCUGGUUUUUAUAUAAGACCAGAGAUUCUCGAAAAUGUUUAAGUCUGGGCUCUGGUGCGGCUAGUUCAAAGUAUUAACCCCAAUGUCCUUCAAGAAUGAGUAACGACUUUAGCUUUAUGACACGGGCGUUGUCCUGUUGGAAGGAACUAAAUUUCGCAAGCCAUUGUAGGCGACGCAUCCUUACAACAUAAUGGUUCCACCUCUAUGGAUCGCUCUUACACAUACAUAUACAUAGGUGCCACUUUUUUGCGACGUGAAAGUGAAAAGCACUUGCAUUGCUCCAUAAAAAAUUGUUCCAAAAUUAAAAUUGUUCGCCGAUCAGUUUUUUGGCAAACUCAAGGCGCUUUAACUUAUUGCGCUGUGUUAUUUGCAGUAUAGCUCCGGUAAUAUAUGUUCCAAAAUCAGUUUCCUUAAGACGUCUACGUAUUGUCCGUUCGCUGACUAUUAUUCCGUUGAACUUUACUAUUAUUUCAUUUUUAAGAGAUUCACUGAAUUCCAUUCGGUUACUCAUAUUUCACAAAUUAUUGAACGAAAACAAUUUUUAUCAGCAUUUACAAUCUCUAAACUGAGAUAAUCCGUAAUAAUGGUUUCGCUUUCUAUCAACAGCAGAUCAAUGCAAAUUAAUUGAAGUUCUGACAAAAUACUUUUGUCCAGCCAAGAUCAGAUUACGAAUGAGAAUAAGAAGCAUAUUAAGAAAAC
This is a long non-coding RNA of Drosophila pseudoobscura, 1040 nucleotides long. RefSeq lists it as uncharacterized. Lineage: Eukaryota; Metazoa; Arthropoda; Insecta; Diptera; Drosophilidae. The record is from RefSeq and is a predicted model, not a curated record. The transcript is spliced from 2 exons.